ACCGAUCGGUCCACAGAGGCAGAGCGCGGUCCAUCAAAAAUCUCACAUGGUCCACAGAUGUGGUUCACGAUGGCGGAAGCUUUUUUUGCACGAUCCAACAGUCAAAAUUUCAUCCAUCAAGAGAUCCAAUGGCUGAAGACGCUCCCGACUUUGAAUAGGAGAUCAAAAGCACUGAUCGAUGGCCCAGAUCUCAUCUGAA
RNAcentral lists this long non-coding RNA (199 nucleotides) under Elaeis guineensis (African oil palm). RNAcentral's name for it is "long non-coding RNA (EGUI_LNC020213)". The record is from RNAcentral. Lineage: Eukaryota; Viridiplantae; Streptophyta; Magnoliopsida; Arecales; Arecaceae.